CUCAGGGCUCCACAAUUCGUGGUAUUUUUCCACCAUGUGGGGCAAAACAGGGAUUCAGUAUUAGGGUCUCUUGAACAAUUACAUGAAAAAGACCAACAUAGUUCAGCGCCUGUUACAUUAAUUGUCUUCAGGGCUAGAGGAGGCUUGCCUACCAGUGGGUUGAAGGCAUAAGAAUAUAGUUGUAGAGGUUUAUGGGGUCUAUGGGUAUGUAGGUACUUCCUCAACAGUGGGAUGGGGGUAUGGACAGCUAUAAGACAGGAUUCUAUGGCAUUUUCAGUACUGAGGAGAGGGUUGAGGAAAAAAGAGGUUAAAUUAAAAGCCUUUGCUAUCUGCAACCAUAUAUUUUCCUGCCAUGCAUUAUUAUUUUCUGGUCUCAAGUUAGAGUAGCACAUCCGAACACAGCAUAAAAUGGUAAAGGAUAAGCUUCAUGUCGGUGGAUCAGUCGGAGUGACUUGUUUACAGUGACUGGCGUGUAUCCACGUGGCUAUUCC
This is a non-coding RNA of Pelobates cultripes (western spadefoot toad), 491 nucleotides long. The record is from the annotation of a GenBank genome assembly. Lineage: Eukaryota; Metazoa; Chordata; Amphibia; Anura; Pelobatidae.